RNAcentral lists this ribosomal RNA (405 nucleotides) under uncultured bacterium. Its description in RNAcentral is "partial 16S ribosomal RNA". It matches the Rfam family "Bacterial small subunit ribosomal RNA", at positions 29 to 526 of the family's 1533-position model. The record is from RNAcentral.
AUUGACGCUGGCGGCAGGCCUAACACAUGCAAGUCGAACGAGGGGCGCACGGGUGAGUCAUGUCAGGGAAAUUGCCUUAUGGGGGGGGCUAACUACUGGAAAGGGUACCUAAUACGGCAUACCAUCGAAUGAUCCCAGGUGGGAUUAGCUAGUAGGUGGGGUAAAGGCUUACCAAGGCGACGAUCCCUAGCUGGUCUGAGAGGUGGACCAGCCACACUGGAACUGAGACACGGUCCAGACUCCUACGGGAGGCAGCAGUGGGGAAUAUUGCACAAUGGGCGCAAGCCUGACGCAGCAAUGCCGCGUGUGUGAAGAAGGCUUUCGGGUUGUAAAGUACUUUUAGCGGGGAGGCGGUAUUCGACGAAGAAGCACCGGCUAACUCCGUGCCAGCAGCCGCGGUAAUAC